RNAcentral lists this non-coding RNA (89 nucleotides) under Xenorhabdus szentirmaii DSM 16338. The record is from RNAcentral. Lineage: Bacteria; Pseudomonadati; Pseudomonadota; Gammaproteobacteria; Enterobacterales; Morganellaceae.
ACCUUCAGGGUCCAUAUGAAAGUACGACAUUGCUCACAUUGCUUCCAGUGUUUACUUUUAAUAAGCCAGCUUAAUGUUGGCUUUUUUUU